Gigantopelta aegis is the source of this 753-nucleotide long non-coding RNA. RefSeq lists it as uncharacterized. NCBI's taxonomy places the organism in Eukaryota, Metazoa, Mollusca, Gastropoda, Neomphalida, Peltospiridae. The record is from RefSeq and is a predicted model, not a curated record. The transcript has 4 exons.
UAUACUUUAAUGUAAAUGUAAUUGACUAAAUCAUGCUUUACAACAAGUAAUUAUUAUAUAUUUCUGUAUAACGUUAUAAACUGUACAGUGUAAUAUUAAUUCUUAUUAAUUCAGUAAUUUGAUUAAUCUAUAUCUAAAUAUGUGAUAAACAUAAUUUAGUAUGAAUGCAGUGUGUAUGUUUGUGGUGAUGAACACUUUAGAGAUUGUUGUAUUUUAUUAUAUAUUUUAUGAAACAUAACGUGUCUGUGUAGUUAUUUAUUAUUGUAAUUCUUUUAUGCAGAUACGUCAAUCCUUUUAAGUGUGACCAGUUCCAUUUGCCCUGGUGUCACAUACUUGGGUGAUAUAAGAAUGGAAACUUGUCAGCCAUUAAAGAGCCUUUAACCCAAAACAAUGCAGUUGUCAUUUGUUCCAAAACGAUGAUGCUACUACAUUUGGAGCCGACGUAGGGACUAACAACGGGCUGACAGAUGGUUUGGAUGGAGUGUUGACAGUACAGGAUUGACCUUCACCCCUCUACAGAAUGACGUCCUAACAUGAGUAUCCUUGACAUUUGUGAUCUUGACUUUUCGUGAACAUUUUAAAGGAAUUCCACUCGGACAUUAUUGUGUGCUGCAGUGUUGACUUUUCUAUGGACUUGUGUCAUUUAUACGUCAAUCCUUUUAAGUGUGACCAGUUCCAUUUGCCCUGGUGUCACAUACUUGGGUGAUAUAAGAAUGGAAACUUGUCAGCCAUUAAAGAGCCUUUAACCCAAAA